AGAAGCAGCUGGUGGCUUGCAGAACAGCGCAGAUCGACCGAUCAGUGCAGCCGCGCCGCCACCGUUGCGGGCCGUGCCCUCGCCGGGAGGAGCAGCUGGUAGCCGGCGGGAGCAGAAAAGCCUUCUCCUACCUCCGCCUCUCACGUCGUGUCAUCGCCGGGAGGAGCAGCGUAGGUCGACGGAGCGGUGUUGUGUGUCGCACCAACGCUGCUUGCCGUGCCAUCGCCGGGAAGAGCGGCUGGUGGCAUCUCUGGCCAGCUGCCACAUGCUUGGGACUUCAUCGUCCAUACAAAGGUAGCCCAUGUGUCCCAAUCCACGUAAUGGAUGCAUAACUGGUUGUUGUUUGGGCGAUUACUGGCCUGCGGCUCGCCUGUGUUGUUUGGGCUGAGAUGAACACCGUUGGAUUCAAUGCUGGUUCAGGUGAGCUUCGGAUUGCUAGGUCACUGUCAAUUAUUGCUUUCAAAUUGUUCAAGUUAUUCAACUUUUUCUUUUUUUUGUACACCUCAGUACUCCAGCGAAAUGGAGUUGUUGACAGAAAAUAUUAUGAUCUGCACUAUUUGUUAGGGAUGAAAUUAUUUGUGUUGCGUCCGUGACUGACAUGGCCCUUUAAGUUGGAUUUAUUGUUUUGUAGAAUACAUGUAUGUAUGAUGAGAGUGGUUUACACUCCUGCAGCUUAUGGCAUCUACUGAAAAAAAAUAGAUCGUUACCAUUUUCAUGAAACUGUUCUGAGUAAUCAUGUUGUGCUUCCACAUACGCAUAGCUAUUGCUGAUACAUAAAUGAUGUUGCAUAAGGAAGACUCGGGAAGUAGGAAAAUUUAGCCUACGAGGAAAUAGAUGUUCAUUAGCUGGUUAGUUUGGUCAGCUUGGGUGCAGGAAGGCUAAGUUUUCAGCCCCAUCCUUCCCCUUUUUCGUUUAAUGUUCAUCAGUUUAUUUAUUCUUUCUGAUUCAUCUACUAAUUUGGAUAUAUGUUUAGGUCAGGUUUCACUUUUCAGCAAGUUAAUCUGGAGUCAUGUCUGCGUCAUGAAAUUUGUAUUGACAUUCUUGACUUUCUUUUUAAUUAGCUAUAAUUAGGUAAUAGGCCAUGAAUAGGAGGUGCAGACUGCGCAUGGAAGAAUUACAGAACACAAAAAACUAAUGGCACUAUCAUGUUGAGUCGCUUGGGAAGAGGUGUAAGACCGUGACUUGCGGGGUAAAAGGCCAAAGAAACGUUGUUGUUGAGGCUGCUCCCAGUUCAAAGAUCUUCCAUGGCGAUGCAGGGGAAUUCCAGUGCCCACACAAGCUCCUCCAUUUGGUGAUAUUAGAAAGAGAUGAAAAUGGCCUAGCUGGUGACCUUUGGAGAAUAGUAGCCAUAAUCAUUCUUCAAACAAGACCAUCAGGUUCUCUCUCUCUCUCGAAUGUACGGGAAAAUCUCAUCUUUGUUUGUGCAGAUCCCUUUUUGUCUGUGCUUACAAGGUGUUUGAUAAAAAUCCUAUCUAAUAUGGUUGUAGAUACUAUUUAAUGAGAAGAAAAUGUCCUAGCUGGCGACCUUUGAAGAAUAGUAGCCAGAAUCGUCUUUAUCGUUUGACCAAGGAGAAUGAGGAGCAGCGCAAGGGGGUUCUGAAUUAUGCUUAAUAUUCCAUAUUUUUAUUUUCUUCGUGAAUCAGUUUAGCAUUAGUAGUGGAAGGUCUUGCCAAAUUCUUGCCCUUCACGCUGGUAAAGGUUGGACCUUUCUGGUUUGAACCAUGGAGCUAAUUGGGAUCUGUAUUUUUCUCCAGAUCUGCAUUAGUUCAGCAAAGUUGAUGGAAUAAUCUAUGUGAGUGUUCUUACCCAGUUUAGGAAACUACAGGUUGUCAAGGAAGUGAUUGUAAUAACUUGAUGGAUACGGUGCUGCUAGACGAGAGACAGUUAGGAAAGCAGCACAUAGUCUAAAUUUAAUAAAAGGAGGCUGCUAUGACCAUCUCCACUAAAGUGGUAUCUCACUUUCCUAAUUGAAGUAUGCAAGCUCAAAUAUUUGUUUUUUCUACUACUGAGUUUCUUCAAAGACUAUCAGGUUCUCUCUCUCAAACAUAUGGGAAAAUCUCAUCUUUGUUUGUGUAGACCUGUUUUCGUCUAUGCGUAAAAGGUUCUUGAUAAAAGUCCCAGCUAAUAUGGUUAUAUUUACUAUUUAAGGAGAAGAAAAUGGCCUAGCUGGUGACCUUUGGAGAUGUAAGUUGAAUGUGAAUGCAAAAUGCAUCGCAUACUCUAUAAGGUCAUUUACAAAAUAUGCAUUUAUCUAUAUAGCGGCAAUGCAUUGCAUACUUCAUCGCGUAGAGCGGCUUUAUUAGAAGCAUAUAUCUGUAUCGGGCAAGAACGUAUGGUUCAUACAUUGGAUGGAAACAAUGGUGCUUUCACUCCUCUAUUUUGUCGAUGUCAAAUGGAGUAGAUGAUUUCUUAUUCAUGUUUUACAGAAGUGGAUAACACACAUUACUGCCUAGGCUUUACACAUAAUUGGCUACAUGACUUGUUCAUUGAUGGAUCUUUAUUUUUCUGUUCUAGGGAAACAACAUGUCUGGAGAAAUCCCCUUAGAAUGUGUUGAUUUGUUCAUGGAAAGGCUUUAGGAGGGAAAUGUUUGAGAUAAAGAAGUUUUUGCUGGGACCAAAGAAACACAACUACAAAAAUCUCCUGAGAAUGUAUUGGGUAUUCUGUGUGAGAAAAACCAGUGUCUAGGUUAGGCUGAUACUCUUCUGUGGACAUAUGUUCUCAGCAUUUAUGUGCGUGUACGCUUUGGCAGACACCGGCAAGUUACAAUUAGCAAUUCAUUUGAGCUCCUAUCCCCUUCAAUAAGAUGCCCACCGCUUCUUUAUCUUUUAUAGUGUUAUACGAUUUAGCAAGAGAGCCACAGUCAGCGCUUACAUGACCAAGUUUUAUAAAUGCCUAUCAUUAUUCUAAUUCCUAAAUAGAUUGAGAAACUGAAUCUCCGCUACCCUGCAGAUAUUGUUAGAUGAUUCAGUAAUCAAGAGCGAAAAAUAUUUGUUGUGUUGUGCAUUGCCUUGUGUUGCUAUCGCCUAACUGCUGGUUGUUUGACUUUUGCUUUUAUCUUAGACCGAUUGAGUUGUAUUUGUAUUUGGUAGUUGUAGUUUCAGUUUGUUGGUUUCUCUGAUCUGUUCAGAUUAUGACAUGUAUAGAUGUACAUUAAGGUGUACAAAGUGGUCUGUUGGCUGAUUUAUCCAUGCUUAGGUCUCUAUCAUAUUUUCCUAUUUCUAUAUUUACUUACCAAGUGUCUGUCUCUAGAACAGUGCCAUGACCAUCCAUGUCUCUUUUUAGCCCUUUUUAGAGACUUUUCUUACUUUUGAUCAUAGGUCAUACAUCAAUGAGGAUCUUCCUGAGAUCAACAAGCUGCUUACAAGGUAAUUGAUGCAUAUAUGCUUAGGGACUUCAAUUUGUUCGUGUAAUUGAGCCCGACUGUUCCUACUUUUCACCUACACGAUACAAAACAUAGUCACUGAUGCCUAGAGUAUUCCACUCCCGGGACAUUCUACUACCGAGAUAAGUGCCAGGUUGAUCUCAUGACAAAGACUAAUUCUGAACUGGUUGACUUGAAAAUCUGGGAACACAAGGUGUGUCCACAAUUUUAUGGUUUAUCUAUUGUCUAUCAUCAUCUUCCAGAGUGCUUAAUCUUGGCAUUUCUUUGCAGAAAACUAAGUUAUUAUGUACUGUUUUCAUCACAAAACUUAGCCCUGACCAAUGCUAUUGGUUCUCUUCCUGUACAACUUGCCGUAAAUCUAUGGUUCCGUACGACACCGAGUAAAAGUGAUGUGAUUUGAACUGCUAAUUCGUUAGUAUUGAAUUGUUUAUGUUUGGAUUUUCCUAAAGUUGUUUCAAGUAAUUUUUCCCAACUUGAUGAAGCAAUCCUGGUUUUUUUAAUGUUUUUGAGAGAAUGUUUCCUAAUGAUUGAGCGGUGAGGAAGAACUGGCGCAAGUAGAGGCCAACGACUUCUAUUUUCUUUCGUCUAAAUAAGAAUGAAAAUCCUAGGAUGUAUGUGUAUCAUAAUAUUGCCACAGAGCUCACUUGGAAAUUAUAUAUCUAAGAAAAAUGCAGGCAUCCUGCAAUCUGUGUACUAGAAAAGAUUAAAAAAAUCUCACUCUCUCAUUCCUGAACCAGGGAUAUAUGUUUCACUGGAUGCAUGCCCUUAGAAAUUUUGCAACUGCUGCAUGUAUGAAUGCGUAUGGUUGAGCAUCCUUUGCGUCGCUGGCUUUGGUGCUUGCUGACCUGGUUUUAUAUAUUAUCGUAGUAUGUGCAAGCAAUCUAAUUCGAUGGGUAUGAGUACUGUAUUUUCUUGCUUGCUUUUGGCCUUCAAUAGUGCAUCGUCACCAUAAGAAGCUAACCUGGCUGGUAUUAUUAUUUCUGUGUGCAGAAAAUGCAAAAUGGAGAUUGAAUUCGGCACUACAUGGUCACCAUUAUUCUGCCCAAAAGGUACAUGCAAGUUGGAUUAGAAUUUUGUAUUGAGUAAUCAACUAUGAAGAUUUAAAUAACGAGUAAUUCACAAUUUUGUAUUGAGUAAUUCACACCUUUCCUAUGAUAUCAUUCGUACUUUUACUGCACUAUUUUUACUCAAAGGAGUCCAGUAACAUUAGCAUGGUGAAAACUUGGAUUGGAUCAUGCCUGGUUAAAUCCAACAUUCGACAAAAAAAAUUCUCCAAAAAUAUGGUCUUUUAAUUCCCAAGAAAAGCAUUGGUGCCUACAAUUUAUGGUUCUACAAAUUUUUUGGCUAUUAAACUCUGGUUUCAUGAUUUCUACCACAAAAUAGCAAAGAAGUGUUGAUGCCCUCUAAGGUAGCACUGGGAUACUAUUUCAAUUUAAUCAUUUAUAUUAGAGAAAUAUACGAUAUGUUCUUUAUGAACGCUUGCAAAUCGCAAGUAUAUUUACUAAUUAACAUUGUUUGAUGCUUUGAUUGUUUUGUAUCUGUUUGCAUUUUUUCUGUACUCAGGAAGAUCGAGUAUUUACGCAGUAGUUAUUUACACAUGCUUGCAAAAUGCAUGUAUAUUUACUAAUUACCAUGGUUUGAUGCUUUGAUUGUUUUGUAUCACGGCUUGAGUACAUAUGAAGUAGCCUUUCCAAAAAAAAACUAUUCUUUUGCCUACUCUUUUUUGACUGAAUAGAUGGAGGUUUAAGACAGCUACUAUGUACAAGUUAAGUUGUGGAUGUAUUAUUUUUCUUUAUUACGGUUUUAAGUCAUGUUACAGUUGAUAUCUUCAUACUUCUGGUUUAGCUGAGAAUGCUCGCCAUCUUGUGUCAUUCGGACAAUUGAGCAACAUAAGCAUAUGCAAGUCUGAAUCAGGAUUUUUUGCUUUGAGACUGUUAGUGGCUCACCAUAUUACCUCAAGGUAUGUUUCAUUUAUUUUAUCCAUUUUGGAUCUUCUUUUCCUAAGAUGUUUCAAACAAAUUUUGACAACUUUCCAGAUACAUCCAAAUUUUGACUAAUUUCAGACAACUUUUGUAGGACAGAGGGAGUACAUAAUUCGAGCGAGAAAUUGUAACAAAGAAUAGAAUCUUGAAAUAAAACAAAUCUUCUUUAAUCACUGAAAUUUCUAAAAAUGGCACACUACUAACAACUUCAAUAUGUAUGCAAGAUUGAAAAGUACAGGGCCUCACCGAGAUUCAGCGGUCGAGCUGCUAUUGGGCGAGAGCCUGAGACGGCCGCCUGCUGGUGGCCGCGGUGGGCAGUAGCGGCGGCGAGGUGACCAGGCGCAGGCGUCCAGGGAGCUCUCAGCUCCGCCGCUGCUGCAAGUUGCAAUGCGGCCGGCGCGCUGCCUCCAGCUAGCUUCUCCCGUCCUCCCAAUCUCCACUGUUUAUUCUCACUCUGGUGGGAAUAAAGAAUCAAGGACAAGGAUAGGAUCUGGAGCUGCAUGUGACGCGGGAUUGGAGAUUUUGGUCGACAUGGAGAGAGAGCAGGGUUGGACAGGUUUUUGCUAGAUGUACCAACUUCUCUACCAAAUCAGUGAAUGACAGUGAUGUCAGGCAUUGUAACUUGUGGUUUCAGUGGUAGUACUCCUAGCUGGAGGUUAAAAAUAGAAAAAACUUCCAAACUAUGCUUGUUUAUUUUUUUGCCACAAGGUGAUAUUACUUGGCAGGAAAAAAACCUCUCAGGCUGGAUGUUAAAUUGAUAUUUGCAUCUAUUUGUAUACAUGUUUGUUUUCUGCUACAG
Lolium rigidum is the source of this 6164-nucleotide long non-coding RNA. RefSeq lists it as uncharacterized. The transcript has 3 exons. NCBI's taxonomy places the organism in Eukaryota, Viridiplantae, Streptophyta, Magnoliopsida, Poales, Poaceae. The record is from RefSeq and is a predicted model, not a curated record.